This 444-nucleotide long non-coding RNA is filed under the name Gossypium raimondii (Peruvian cotton). RNAcentral describes it as "long non-coding RNA (GRAI_LNC005865)". The record is from RNAcentral. Lineage: Eukaryota; Viridiplantae; Streptophyta; Magnoliopsida; Malvales; Malvaceae.
AGGGCUAUGGGGAGAGUUGGUAUCAAUGGGAGAAAACUUGCUAAGGUAAACAAUUUUAAGACAAUGGAACUUUUGAUUUCAAUUAAGCACCGAUAUCAGCUAGAAGAAAUAAUAUUGUUGGAGGUAAGGGAUGGAAUAUUUCCGAUUAGGAUAAAAGAAAAAGGGUUGACGAAAGCGAUAAAUGAUAAAACAAGGAAAUAAAGGGUGCAACAGGAGAAAGAGGAAGAAGAAUCAUCGGAAGUCGGAUUAACAGUCAGAUCGAAAUCGGAGCUAUCUUCGGAGGGCAGACAAAACAACUAGGAAGAGAAAGUUAAUGCACCUUGCAUCGAGAAAGAUGGAAAUGGGAAAAGAAGUCAAAGAAUGUCAGCGGAUGCAAUAAAUGAAGAGAAUUUUUUAAGCCAUUACGGGAGUAUACCAGCUGUGGGAGAUGCAUCAAACAUCUUA